Long non-coding RNA from Gasterosteus aculeatus aculeatus (three-spined stickleback), 4734 nucleotides. NCBI's taxonomy places the organism in Eukaryota, Metazoa, Chordata, Actinopteri, Perciformes, Gasterosteidae. The record is from Ensembl.
CCCACUGCUUAAAAUAACUGUGCUUAGCUUCAAAUCGCAUACACAUACUUCUUAUUAAUGGACCAAGAGAUAUGAUUUGGCUUGGUAGAUGUAACAUGUAAUGUUGCUUGGGUAUUACAUUGGCUUCAGAGAAAAGUUCUUUGAAAUGAUGCAGAUGUUGCUCAAUCAUGCGUCUGAGCCGUAAUACGGUUUCUAAAGAAAUAACAGGAGCAAGGACAAUUUGAACAAUCUCAAUUAACUUGAGAAUAAAUUUGACAUACUCGUUGUCCAUACCGUUCAAAAGAAAAGGUAGGAUUUUUAAAAGUAUCAACAUUUGUCCACAUGACUGCUUUAAUUUAUUGUCAUUAGCAGCAAGUACUGACACUAAUAGGACAUGGCUUAUCUCUUAUGUCUAGAGGUGAGUAAGGAAAAUUUAGAAUAGCUGAGUUAAUCUCAUCUAAUUCUAUCUGUCCUGACAGAAUCAGGUUUUUUAAUACAAGCUUUAUUUCCAUUGGUGCAACACCUUCAAAAAUUACAUGCAUUAUAUCCUGUGGUGUUUGUUUGAUCAGAUCAAAUGCUGGAACAUCAACUAGUCUGCUUCUUCUGUUAAUCCCAUAAGUGGUUUUGAGGGAUGCUUUCAAUGUUUCUGUGCUUGCCUUAUCUAUUUCAACACACUGCCUAAUGUGCUUUUCCAAAGUUCUUUCAGCAAACCUAUUCUCCUCAAAAAUACUUUGCAUAUCCUCAAAGGAGCAUUCACAAUGUCUACAUUUGCUAUAAGCAAAACCAACACCUUGUUUAAAUCCAGCAAUAUCAUGUUGGGCAAGUGUGUCUCCACAUAUGGCGAUCACAGCACCAAACAACUCAAUUUCACCAUUUGGGGUGUCAAUCCUAACACCAUUGUACAGAAGUGUCAGAUCUUUUUGGAUUCUUUUUAGUAUAACAUCAACACCCCACUGAGAAAUAUUGUUUGCCUUGGCAAUAGCCAGGAGUCUUAUUGCAGCCAACUUCGACCUAAAUUUUGGAUCUAUAUUCCCUAAACUAUAAUAAAACCUCAGUAAUUUAUUUGCAGAGGCAUGGGCGCCUAAAGGGUUACAUAUUUCAAUUUCAUCGGUGUACAAUAGUAUUUGCAAUGCAUUUGGCCUUUGAGAAUAUAAUGGAUGGGAUGUAAAAAGGGCUCCAUCAGUAAAAUCAUACAAGAAUCCCUCACUUCUUUGUGGUACAGUGGUUAAGUACAUGGUGAAGAUUCUGGGAUUGGUCAGUAACUGCUUAAGACUUUGAAUGAGUGGUACAUAGUAAAAACUUUUGCCUCUUAAGGCCAUGACCCUUGAAAGACCACGCUUUACCCAACAAAUCUUCUGGGACACCACAACUUCCUCUGGGUUGACUGGAUUGAAUAGUUCCCGGAUGGUUUUAUUCUGUCCAUAUGCUGUGGUUGAGAAAGGAUCCAUGAACGCAUCAAACGUAGCCAAAGCCUCCCCUUGGAGCUGAGCAGUUGUGUCUGGAUUCUCUUCAAACACCCUUCUGAUUCUCUCCCUUAGUGUGUCAAUGAGAGCAGCUUGGUACUGUUGCACCCCUGAGAUGACACUGUUGACAGUUCUCUGGGAAAAUAUUUAAAAUGUAAAUAAUUUUGUCACCCAUAUAAUUCACAGGCCCAUAUUUUACAUUAGAAUAAUUUAAAUUAAUUGUACCAUUAAAGCAUUUGCCCAUGAAGAUAAAUUUACCUGUGAUAACUGGCACUGUUCCCGGACACUGAUGGCGAAUGCCGCUGCGGAUCUAGCUAUAUCAGGUCUGGUUCUGGAGGUCACAGCAACAGCGUCUUCCUUUAUAAAAUGAGUUGUAAUUUUUUAAGAGCGAGUAGAUGGACACAGUCAAAGUUGCAAUUGAUUUGAAAGGAAAUGGACAUUUUUGAGGAGAUGCCCGAGAGGGGAAAGACUUCAUUUUAAUCCCGUAUUCGCAGCUCUAUCGUCUAAGGUAAGAGGAAUUAAAUGUUUUUUUUAAUGUUUAAUCUUAGCAUUCAAUGGAGAUAAUACCUAUGAAAGAGAAAGUGUGCAUAGGCUACUCAAAUCAUGCAUGAUUAACGCGCACACUCGCAGUGUGGAUUCAAUGAGGCCCAUAUUUAAAUAUAUCGUUAUAUGUAGGACAAAAAUAUUAAAUUACAUAACAAGUCAGCAUCACACAGAGAGCAACCUAAUUGGCACGAUAAGAUUGAAAAUAAAUUGAAUUGUGGAAACUUACGGACUCAAGGCGGCCGUCAGCUUCAGGCUGUGGUGACGGUUCAGGUAAAGAGGCAUCAGGUGGGACAGCCGUAGUGCUGGCCGCUGCAGGAGUGCUACAGCUGGAAAACACCGAAACACCAAAUGUUUCCUGUCCCAAAGACCGAGAAGAAGGCGUCGUACUCCAUCCGCUUGGUGGGCAUCCAGUCCUCAAAUACUGAAGUUCAUGUCCUCCAACGGUCCCACCUCAAUGACGUCAGUGUUCGCGGUUCACCGCUUGAGUAACUGAAAGAUUUGGGUGCGUUACAUUUGACGAAGAAGUGCAAGAAGAGCGGCUCAAUUUCUACGGUACCGCCUGUUAAUGCUUCAGGGAGCUGAUGAAUCUAAGAUGGAUACUUUUGACGAUGCCACUCUAUCGGUGUUGGAGGGUGCCAGUGUUGAUGAGGAGGCUUUGAAAGGCCUUAGCCGGGAUGACCUGAGGGAUCUUUUUCCUGGCCCAGAGAAUUUCCUCAAAAGAAAGAAACUUUGGAAUUUCAUCAGUGAAAAUUGUGAAAAUACCACGGACCAAGAUGCCAACAAUUGUGCCAUGCCACCAUGCCAGCCUCAAACCUCAACCCCCAUAUCUGCUGAGAAAAAAAUGAAAAUGCCAGACCCUCCAGAGUAUGUGGUGUACACAGAUUCAGAGUUAGACAUGGUGCGUAGUCAAUACUUUGCACUGCUCUGCAAUGGAAAGGAAAAAAAUUACAAACUGUCCAAGGAGCUAUGUUGCAGACUUGUAAGGAACACAAUAACCAGUAUGGUUGCUAUCCUGCGUGCUAGUCCCAUGGGGAAAGAAGUCAGUUACCCGUCAAAAUUGGAAAUAAGAGCCAUGUCACAGAAGAUUAUAGACUAUUACCCAAUGUUACGGGAUGAUGAUCCAAACAUGCCUUAUCUGACUAUCUACACCAAAAUGUACAAGCGACUCCAAAAUAUGAGAUCCCCACGGAAGAGGCAAGGCUCUGUACCACAAAGAGGAGUGGCAAAGACAGCUCUCUUCAGUGCAGACAACCAAGACAUGGAGACGGAUUGGACAGACACAAGCAACUCAAGUGAUAAUACCUUACUUCUUGAGAGCAAUGAUGACCUUACCGAGGACAACUCCAGUGAAGCAUUCCCAGCACAUCGACCCCCCUCUGUGCCAAGGAAGCCAAAGACCAAAACCUUCCUGCUGCCAUCCGCAUCAGCCUCAGGCUCCUCACUCAGGACUGUGAUCGCUUCACCAACCACGCCUGCAAAGGAUGAUGUUGUCGGCCAGGACAGUCUGAAAAUGCAGGCUAGGCACUACAAAACCUUGAGCAACAUGUACAAUAAGCCAAAUGCAAAACCCAAUCAAAGUGAUGUUGCUCAAGUUUUAGACCUUGAGUUUAAGGCCAGACGGGCUUUCAUUGAUGCAGAUGUUACAAGGGAAGAAGACCGACCUGCAAAAAUCUUUGAGGCAUAUCCAUGCUUUAGAGAUGUUCGAAAUGCAAUGGAUGAGCUGCGGUGCAUAGUAGGUGGCACCAACAGCAGAUACAUCGAGGAAGUGAAAGGAAGAUGGGCAGACUUUUGUGCCAAGGUGCAGUUCUAUGGUGUGUGGAAGAAAGCCCUGAAACCCCCCUUUCCAUUGGAUGUCCGUGGAGUGGAGUUCACGCUUGCCCUCUUCAAUGCACUCCCAUCCCUUUUCCCCUCACCAACUUCACCACCAAAGAAGCUUGGAAAUAGCUGUGAGGCACUUCUUCAUGUCCUGAAGUCAGGCGAAGACCCUGCCCUGUACCUGGAAAAGCAUCCUCUCUCCUCCCCAGUUCUGCUUUCUGAUGGCUCAACCACCAUUGUGGCUGUGGGUAAUGUACCUGUGACCACCCUCCCUCAGGAAGAUUUCUCAGACGGGAUGUUGGUGUUAAUGGCAUAUUACUACACUUUGCACUUAAGAUAUCCAAAAUGUGUUGCAACGCUCCUGUCAGUUAUUCAAACAGAGGUAAUUGGUGACACAAUCCACGAUCAAGAUGCCACUAGUGCUUACAGGAAAGCAAUGGCUGAUUGGAAGUCUUUCAUUGAGAAGUAGCUGAGUAUUUUGUCAUGCCAGUUCUUAUUGUUAGCUGUGCCUAAUAAUAGUUUUGUGUUGCACAAGCUUAUACAGUCACUGAGUUAUUACCUCAUUUAGGCCUGUAUUUAAAAUGAUAGUUAAGGAAAAAUCCAUAACUGAGGGCUGAGAAGUGUUUUUGUUUUUUGCCCUUUUGCUUUUAAUUUCUUUUAUUUUUAUGGAAAAGUAUUCAAAUGUCUAUAGCAAACUUGACUUGCUGAUGUUAAAUAAAUGUUGUCUUAAGCCAUGUUAUUUCUGCACCAUUAUUCUAAAAAAGGACAGGCUUUAGAUUUUAAGAUGCUCAAAGUAAGAAAACAAAAUGGGUAAUUGCUUAUAUUUAGUAUAUUUCACUUAUUUUGAGGCUGUAAAAGUUUAAAUUUAAGUAAUCUAGUCUUAAAAACAGCAUUUUAUGCUUAUAUUUAGUAUAUUUCACUUAUUCUGAGG